RNAcentral lists this long non-coding RNA (699 nucleotides) under Homo sapiens (human). RNAcentral describes it as "HSALNT0040937". The record is from RNAcentral. Lineage: Eukaryota; Metazoa; Chordata; Mammalia; Primates; Hominidae.
CUGGGCAAUGGCGGGCGCCCCUCCCCCAGCCUCGCUGCAGCCUUGCAGUUUGAUCACAGACUGCUGUGCUAGCAAUUAGUGAGACUCCGUGGGCGUAGGACCCUCUGAGCCAGGUGUGGGAUAUAAUCUCGUGGUGCCGUUUUUUAAGCUCGUCGGAAAAGCGCAGUAUUCGGUUGGGAGUGGUCCGAUUUUCCAGGUGCCAUCCGUCACCCCUUUCUUUGACUCGGAAAGGGAACUCCCUGACCCCUUGCGCUUCCCAAGUGAGGCAAUGCCUCGCCCUGCUUCGGCUCGUGCACGGUGCGCGCACCCACUGACCUGCGCCCACUGUCUGGCACUCCCUAGUGAGAUGAACCCGGUACCUCAGAUGGAAAUGCAGAAAUCACCGUCUUCUGCGUCGCUCACGCUGGGAGCUGUAGACCGGAGCUGUUCCUAUUCGGCCAUCUUGGCCAAUUUUCUACUCUUUGGAUCAUACCGAUUUUAAUGCAGCCUCAUCUACUUACUCAUUUUAGAGACAACACCAACAUUUUUGUAAUGGCCUGCAAGGCCUUCCGAGAUCUACCUCCUGCAACUCAGCUUCUCCUGUGCUCUCCUUCUGGACUCACUCUGCCUCAGCAACACUGGUCCCUGUUGCCCCACCAAUAUGCCAGGAUCUUGGAAGCAGAGGGAUCUGCAGAAGUGCUUGCAACACUUUCAGCCUUA